UACGUAGGGUGCGAGCGUUGUCCGGAAUUACUGGGCGUAAAGGGCUCGUAGGCGGUUUGUCGCGUCGGGAGUGAAAAUCCAGGGCUUAACUCUGGACUGGCUUCCGAUACGGGCAGACUAGAGGUAUGCAGGGGAGAACGGAAUUCCUGGUGUAGCGGUGAAAUGCGCAGAUAUCAGGAGGAACACCGGUGGCGAAGGCGGUUCUCUGGGCAUUACCUGACGCUGAGGAGCGAAAGUGUGGGGAGCGAACAGG
This 253-nucleotide ribosomal RNA is filed under the name uncultured bacterium. RNAcentral's name for it is "partial 16S ribosomal RNA". It matches the Rfam family "Bacterial small subunit ribosomal RNA", at positions 524 to 776 of the family's 1533-position model. The record is from RNAcentral.